RNAcentral lists this ribosomal RNA (440 nucleotides) under uncultured bacterium. RNAcentral describes it as "partial 16S ribosomal RNA". It matches the Rfam family "Bacterial small subunit ribosomal RNA", at positions 338 to 795 of the family's 1533-position model. The record is from RNAcentral.
CCUACGGGUGGCAGCAGUGGGGAAUAUUGCUCAAUGGGGGAAACCCUGAUGCAGCGACGCCGCGUGAGUGAAGACGUAUUUCUGUACGUAAAGCUCUAUCAGCAGGGAAGAAAAUGACGGUACCUGACUAAGAAGCCCCGGCUAACUACGUGCCAGAAGCCGUGGUAAUACGUAGGGGGCAAGCGUUAUCCGGAUUUACUGGGUGUAAAGGGAGCGUAGACGGCGGCGCAAGUCUGAAGUGAAAGCCCAUGGCUUAACCAUGGAACUGCAUUGGACACUGUGCAGCUGGAGUGCAGGGGAGGUAGGCGGAAUUCCUAGUGUAGCGGUGAAAUGCGUAGAUAUUAGGAGGAACACCAGUGGCGAAGGCGGCUUACUGGACUGUAACUGACGUUGAGGCUCGAAAGCGUGGGGAGCAAACAGGAUUAGAUACCCGAGUAGUC